AUUGAACGCUGGCGGCAGGCCUAACACAUGCAAGUCGAACGGUAACAGGAAGACGCUUGCUUCUUUGCUGACGAGUGGCGGACGGGUGAGUAAUGUCUGGGAAACUGCCUGAUGGAGGGGGAUAACUACUGGAAACGGUAGCUAAUACCGCAUAACGUCGCAAGACCAAAGAGGGGGACCUUCGGGCCUCUUGCCAUCGGAUGUGCCCAGAUGGGAUUAGCUAGUAGGUGGGGUAACGGCUCACCUAGGCGACGAUCCCUAGCUGGUCUGAGAGGAUGACCAGCCACACUGGAACUGAGACACGGUCCAGACUCCUACGGGAGGCAGCAGUGGGGAAUAUUGCACAAUGGGCGCAAGACUGAUGCAGCGAGGCCGCGUGUAUGAAGAAGGCCUUCGGGUUGUAAAGUACUUUCAGCGGGGAGGAAGGGAGUAAAGUUAAUACCUUUGCUCAUUGACGUUACCCGCAGAAGAAGCACCGGCUAACUCCGUG
This 490-nucleotide ribosomal RNA is filed under the name uncultured bacterium. RNAcentral describes it as "partial 16S ribosomal RNA". It matches the Rfam family "Bacterial small subunit ribosomal RNA", at positions 30 to 507 of the family's 1533-position model. The record is from RNAcentral.